RNAcentral lists this small nuclear RNA (60 nucleotides) under Erinaceus europaeus (western European hedgehog). RNAcentral's name for it is "7SK RNA". It matches the Rfam family "7SK RNA", at positions 26 to 85 of the family's 331-position model. Rfam says of the family: 7SK was discovered as an abundant small nuclear RNA in the mid-70s but a possible function has only recently been suggested. Lineage: Eukaryota; Metazoa; Chordata; Mammalia; Eulipotyphla; Erinaceidae. The record is from Rfam by way of RNAcentral.
CAUCUGUCCCCCCGUUGAUCUCCAGGGUUGAUUUGGCUGAUCUGGCUGGCGAGGCAGGUG